AGAGCGACCUAGUUGGAGGGCCGCCGUCAACCGCGCUGCAGCCAAAGUGCGCCCAGUGAGCUGCAGUGAGGAGGAGAACGCGUCGCGGGAGGAGAGGGUGUGGAGGGAGGGGAGGAUGAGAGAGGGGGUUAUAGUGACAGUCGAAGGAGGAUGUCGUCACGCGAUCCGUACGGAGGCGGCCUAAGCGCCGUCGGCUCGGGGGGAACUCGCUCGCCAAGGAGCAGCAGGCGGCUGGGGGAGUUGCCCACCGUCGACCGCUCGCCGUCCAGGAACUAUCCGGGAGCUGGCAUAGGCGGCGGCGGUCGCGCCAGUCCGACGGGUGGCAGACGCCGCGGCACGUCGCCCGACCGUGGCGGUGCUGUCUACGGUCAGUCGAUGAACUCGCCGUAUUACGCGCGCGGCCCCGCCGACGACGAGGGGGCGGCCAGUCCGGGUGCGGUGGACGACCGACGCCACCACCGGUCGCGCAGUGCCAGUCGGCCGCCCCCUGGCUCAGCGUCGCACCCAGCCGCGUCGGUGCGCUACCAGUCGCUCGACCGAGCCGCAGUCGAGGAGCGCGACUUCCUAUCUGCGCGUGACCGCAGCCUCGAACGCGCUGCCGCUCGCGAACGCUCCCUCGACCGUGGCGUCUAUUUGGAGGAUGAGUUGUACGGCGGACGAUCCGCUCGCCAAUCGCCCCGCGACCCCAACAUCGGCGGGGGCGGCGGCGCUGGAGGCGGCUACCUGGGUGAACUGCAGCACCAGAACACCGACCUGCAGCGCGAACUGGCCAACCUGAAGAAGGAGCUUGAGCUCACCAACCAGAAGCUCGGCUCCAGCAUGCACAGCAUUAAGACCUUCUGGAGUCCUGAGCUGAAGAAGGAGCGUGCCCUCAGGAAGGAGGAGUCGGCCAAGUACAGUCUCAUCAACGACCAACUCAAGCUUCUCAACUCUGAAAAUCAGAAACAAGCAAUGCUGGUGAGACAACUAGAGGAGGAGCUGCGUUUGCGCAUGCGCGGCCCGAGUCUAGAAAUGCAACAGCAAAUGGAAGUGCUCUAUGCCGAGAACGAACACCUAACCCGAGAAAUCGCUAUUCUCAGGGAAACAAUAAAGGAGUUAGAGUUACGAAUAGAAACUCAGAAACAAACUCUACAAGCACGUGAUGAAAGUAUCAAGAAGCUGCUUGAAAUGCUUCAGAACAAAGGAGUCGGUGGUAAAAUGGUAGAUGCUGACCAAUCUAAGACGCAGUUAGAGGCCAGACUGGUAGAGAAUGAGAGUGUGAUUCGCCAUUAUGAAACGGUGGUGAGGAAUCGGGAUCAAGAACUCAAUAUGACGAAGCGUGAGUUGAAAGCAACAAAUGAAGCGCUAAGAGCGCUGCAACAGCAGCUAGAAAAAGCGCUGCACAAUCAGAGUAUGGUGGGUCCCACGAACAGUACAUUGACCGCGAUUCUGGAAACCAAGGAUGCAAGGAUUGCAACUCUGGAGAAGGAGGUUCGCCUCCUGGAACAGGAGCUGGGCAGGUUGCAGGGAGGGGGACAGGGGCAGGAUGCGUCCCCCCUCCUUGACCUUGACCUGCACUCGCCACUAGCGCUAGCUGUGUUGGGAACUGGCACUAGUGCCACUGGCCUAAAGCACCAACCAACAUGGAAUCAGCUGGAUGAGUUCAGAGCAGAGCUGCAGCGUCGCGACCAGGAGAUCUUGGCGAUGAGCGCAAAAAUGAAAACACUCGAGGAACAACACCAGGACUACCAGAGGCACAUUGCUGUGCUCAAGGAGUCUCUGUGUGCCAAGGAGGAACACUACACCAUGCUUCAAGCUGAUGUGGAAGAGUUACGUCAACGGUUAGAGGAGAAGAAUAGAUUAAUAGAGAAGAAAACGCAGGCUGCCGUCAACGCUAGCCAAGAUCGAAACCGCAUCAAUAAUGAGCUCAACGAAAUCAGAGAUCACAUGGACAUAAAAGACAGGAAAAUCAAUGUUCUCCAGAGAAAAAUCGAAAAUCUCGAGGACCUGCUGAAGGAGAAGGACAACCAGGUGGACAUGGCGAGGGCGCGGCUGACUGCGAUGCAGGCGCACCACUGCUCCAGCGAGGGGGCGCUGUCCAGUCUGGAGGAGGCCAUCGGAGACAAGGAGAAGCAGAUGAACCAGCUGAGGGAGCAGAGGGACAGGGCUGAACAGGAGCGGCAGGAGGAACGCGAGUUGCAUGAGCGCGACAUCGCUGAGUACAAGUUGAAGCUGCACGCCAUGGAGAGUGAGGUGGAGAAGUUGACUGCACGUGUGGAGAGAGCACAAGCGGAGAAGGAUCGUCUGGAGGCGAGGCUGGAAAGCUCCCAAUCCGAACUGGGUAAAUCGAAAGCGGAGUUGGAUAAGGCGGCUAAUGAAGUUGGCAGAAGUGGAGCAGAUUGGGAGGCUGCAAAGCAACGGUUGGCGAGGUUGGAGCUUGAGAACGAACGCUUGAAACACGACCUGGAACGUUCGCAGACAACGUUCGGCCGCAGCACGCUGUCCACCUCCCAAGAACUCGAUCGCAUACAGGAACGCGCCGAAAAAGCGACCGCCGAACUGCGCCGCGCCCAGGCCGAGCUGCGCGUCACUCAGGCCGACAACGACCGCGCUCGCGCCGAAGCCGCUGCGCUCCAGGAAAAGGUGGAGAAGUCGCAGGGCGAAAUCUACCGCCUCAAAGCCAAACUGGAGAACGCGCAGGGCGAGCAGGAGAGUCUGCGUGAAGAGUACGACCGCGCGCAGACGUCCGUCAACCGACUGCACGUGGAACGCGACAAGGCGGUCUCCGAGUUGGAGAAGGCGCGCGAGGAGCUCGAACGCACGCAGGCCACCCUUGGCAAGGCGCAGCUGCAGCAGGAGAAGCUGCAGAACUGCCUCGACAAGGCGCAGACCGACGUCGACAAGCUCCAGGAGAAACUCGACAAGUCGACCGGCGAGAUCAGGCGGAUGCAAAUGGAGAAAGAAAAACAGAACUACGACUUUGAGAAUAUCCAAUCGCAACUGGACAAAUCACUUGGACAGGCAACCAGACUGCAGAAAGAGAAAGAAACUUGCCAACUAGAAGCCGACCGGUUGAGAGACAAAUUCGAGAAGAAUCAGAUGAUUUUGGCGCGAUUACAAAAAGAAAGAGACCAAUAUCACGAGGAGUGCGAGAAGUUGCAGGAGCGCAUCGAACUGCAACAGAGUCAGGUGUCAAAAGCCCAGCGCGACAGAGAUAGCAUGCACACCGAACUUGACGUGUUCAAAGAACGCUGGGAAAAGUCCCAGCAGAACCAGCAGAAGAUGCAGAUGGAAAGGGACGAUAUGUUGACUGAGGUUGAGAUUCUUAAAGAGAAACUUGAAAAGAAUCAGAUGAUACUCCAGAAGGCCUUGGAAGACAAAGACACUGCCAACAAGGAGUUCGAGCGAAUGUUGGAGAAAUAUGAUAGGAAUCAGAACGAGGUGUAUCGCCUUCAAACAAGACUGGAAACAGCAGAAACCGAAAAAGAUCGCAUCGAAAUGGAAGUUGAGAAAGCUCAGCUGCUCGCCACCAAGUCCCGUGAAGAACAACGUAAGCUGCAAGACGAAAUGCAACGCCUGCAAGAAAUGUACGACAGAGCCAUUCUGCAACUGGGCCGGACAAAGGAGAACGAAGACAAGUUCAAAGAGGAUAUGGACAGGAUGGCUGUUGAUUGCGAGAUGAUGAGAGAACGCUACGAUAAAUCACAGAUCGAAAUGAGGCGAAUCCAGGCUGAGAGAGAUAAACUGCAGGCAGACACUGAUAGAAUGACUUUCGAGUUGGAACGAGCUCACGCUCAGAGCGCUAAGGCACAGACCACUCAUGAGAAGAGCCAAGAAGAAAUGGCGAGAAUGUCGAUAGAACUGGAGAAAAUGUAUGAUAAGCAAGAUAAGCUGCAGGCUGAACUUCGCAAGGCUCAAAUGGAGCUGGACAGACACCGAACAGAGGCCGAGUCGCUGCGAGAGGAGGCAGAGAGGUAUGCGGCGCGCGCUGGCAAGUAUCAGGACACGCAAGAGCGCAGCAAGGAGGAAAUGGAGAGGCUGCGAGAGACCACCGAACUGUUAAGAGGUAAAUAUCAAAUCGAACAGGAAAGAAGUGAAAAGUUGGCUCAGGCCAACGAGAAGCUGGAGAGUCGGUACCAUGAAGUACAGCUCGAGCUGGAGUUGUCAAGGGCUGAAGUCACCAAACUCAUAGAGUCGCAAGAGAAGCAUCACAUAGAUCUUGAGAGACUGCACAUUGAGUGCGAGAAAGUACGAGACAGACAAGAAAAACUUCAAAUAGAAAACGAUCGACUCAGAGCAGAACUAGCAGGAAAGGGUGGAGCCGAUCUAGAAACAGAGAGACUCCGGGAGAAGCUAGACAAGACACAACAGUCACGUGAAAAACUCGAAAUUGAACUUGGAAAACUGUCAAGAGAAUUAGAAAGGCUCCAAUCAGACAAUGAUCGACUCAGGUCAGAGCUGGGAGGAAGAGCUAGCUCAGGAGAGGCUGAGUUGGAUAGGCUAAGAGACAGGAUGGAGAAAAUCCAACAGGCCAAGGAUAAGGCAGAAAUGGACUGUAGCAGACUCACUAGAGAAUUAGAAAAAUCACAAAUGCACCUUGGAAAAUAUCAGGAGAAUAACGAAGCAGCUCAAAUAGAGUUCCAGAAGAUGAAUACUGACCUAUCAAAGAUGCAUGAGAAACUAGAGAAAGCUCAGACUGAAUCACAUAGGCUGGCUGAAGACAAGAUUCAUCUAGAAACAGAGCUGCAACAAACAAAACGAGCCCUAGAACAACAAAUGUCCUCACUGCAAAGUGCAGAUCAUCGGUUGAGAGAAGAUACAGCUAAAGUACAGCAAGAAUUGAAUCAGGCGAUAAGAGAUAAAGAGAGAAUGGUUUCCAUUGUGGAGAAGAGAGAGAAGCAUCUAGAGAAGGUUGAAGCUCAGAUGGCAAAGAUGGAGUCUGAGUGGAAGCAGCUGACAUUAGAGCGUGAUCAGUUGGUUAUCCAGCUUGAAAAGUCGCAAGAUAUGUUGAUGACAUUCCAGCAAGAGCUACAAAUGUCUGAGGCGCAGCUGGAGAAAGAAAGAGAUGAGGUGACAAAACUGAAACAAGAACAGAGAAGAGUGUUAGCUGAGAAGUCGGGUAGUAAAGAUGGCUUUGAGCGGGAGAUGGCUAAACUGCAACAAACUAUGCAGAGCAAAGAUCAGGAGUUGAGUAAUUUGCAGCAGAGUUUGCAGGCGAAGGAUAGGGAACUGACCAAGUUCCAACAGCAGUUGCAGCAGUUUGGUAAGGCUCAAGAACAGGAGCAGGUUCAGUGGCAGAAGGCGGUGGAGCAGGAGCGGAUGAGGGCUGAUGAGCUGCAGAAGCAGCUGCAGAUGAUGCAGUCGCAGCAGACUGGGGCGCGUGAUGAGGUGCACAAGCGAGUGCAGGCACUUGAGAAGCAGCUGCAGGCAGUGCAGUCUGAGUACAAGGAGACCAGAGACGCGCUCACCAAAAAGAAUCAGAUGCUCGAGAAGCAGCUGCAGUCGCAACAGGCGGGAGCGUCUGGUGCCAAGGAAGACGUGCAGCGGCUGCUGUCUGAGCUGGAUAAGGCGCAGGCAGAGCUGAAGAACGCUGCUGUUGAGAGAGAGCGGUUCCAGGCGCAGCUUGAGAUGCUCGUUCAGGAGCUCGAGAAGAACCAGCUCGAUCUGCACGAGGCCAACAAGAAGCUGGCAGCUGGCGCAGCGAAAGCUGGCGAAGAAAGUAGUGCGCUCAAGAAACAGCUGGAAGAACAGAAACGUCAGCUGGAGGAUCAGCGACGCAAGCUGGAGGAGCACCGCAAAGGAGUCGACAUCAGGGUGAAGCAGCUCGAGGAGAAGGAGAAGUCGAUAGCUGACUUGGAACUCAAGUUGAAGAAGAGGAAAGAAAAGAUGGAUCAGCUCGAAGCGCAAAUGCAACAGCGGGCAGCGGCAGGCGAUACGGGUGGAGGGGAGGGCUUUGCCAGAGUGCAGGAGGAGGUGAAUGCGCUGCGUCAACAGCUGGACAAGUCGCAGGAGGAUGCCAGGCGCUCGCAGGAAGAGAUGGAGAGGCUGCUGCAGCUGGUGCAGAUGAGUCAGGAGGAGCAGAAUUCCAAGGAGAAGACGAUACGCGAAUUACAAGAAGCACUAAAAAAUGCACAAGCAAAAAUGAGAAGCCAACAAACUGCCAAUGCACAAAGGGAACAACAAAGAAAAGCAGAGGAGGCUGGUCCCGCUGGCUUCUUAAAAAGUUUAUUUUAAUUGAAACUCUUCCUUGUAUAGGUAAAUUCAAAGUUAUUGCUUUUCAGUAUGUACUGCAUAAACUUAUUUUUAUUGUUAACUGACGAAGCGUGUUUAUUCCGUUAUUAAACUGUUGAUAAUAUUAUUAUAUUACUUUUUAUACAGAAUUUACAAUCGUAGGUAUUGUUGAUAGAAUAAAUGAAAUGCAUUUGGCAGAAAAUUUUGAGCUGGCUAAAAGUGUUGCAAGAAGGAUUCGAUUCCACAAUUGAAUUUUCCUUUUUUGUUCGGUCCGGUGUUUUUAUGAUUUUUUUAUAAUUUACUUUUGUUUGAUUCUGUUGAAAUAUUGGUUUGUGACCCGAUUCCUGGCCUUAUCCUCUCCCACCUUAGAUUGAAGUGACCGGAACAGAGCCGAGCAAAUUUGAAGAGGCCGAGUUUCAAGAUCUACUUGGCGUGAUCGAGCUGAAAGAGGAGCGAAUAGCUGAACUGGAAGAGGCGUUGAGAGAGAGUGUACGCAUCACUGCAGAGCGAGAGAGAGGACUCAUACAAGAGGAAUCUCGCAGGAAGCAUAUCAUGGAAAAGGUUGGCAAACUGGAGCAGCGGCUGUUGUCACUGCAGACAGCGCAUGCGCUGCGCUGCAGCACCUGUCGGCCUCUGCUGACGCGUAUGCACCAUCUGGAGAGGCGGCUCACUCAGCUGCUACAGGAACGCACCGAUCACAUACAGGAGUUGGCUCACAUGAAACAAGAAGCGUUGGAAGCUGCGAUUAGCGAGAAAGAUGCUCACCUGGCGCUGCUGGAAGUGGGUGGCAUCCGCAACGCCAGGCAGGCCGAACAAGCACAAGUAUUGAAAUCGGAUCGAGACCGACUGAUGGCAAGACUGAAAGAAGAGACUGAGUUGAGUAUACAGCUAUUACAAGAAUACUCUCCGCCCUCCCCAAUCGACAUCGACAUCGAUGGAAACGUCAGCCCAACCAGUUGCUCUGUUACCGGACUCACACUAACGAUGGUGGAUAGUGAAGGCUUUGAUGAGAAGACUGGAUCGGACUUCAGCUUAUGAAUUCUUCAUACUUCUCCUAGAAUGGAUUCUGUUAUCAUCUGUUGGCUUCUCUUGAACCUCUGAACUUGAUUUUCCAGCACAGAAUUUUCUGCAAAUCCUUUUGUUGGAAACUUGUAUGCGAAAUUAAGAAAAGCGCACAAGAUUGAAGAUGUUUAUGUUGUUGCUUUUUUGGAAUUAAGAACUUUUCUGAUCCUCUAGACUCCGUUGUAACAGCAAGUGCCACACAAAAUAAUGAUAAAUUGAGUGUAAAUAACGUGUACCUAUAAUAUCAGCUGCAGUGCGUAUCUGUUCUUCUGAGUGGUGUUUGUGAUUUUCUAUAAAAAGUUCAAAAUUUGCGAUCAGUGCUAGAAGCUAACGUGUAAAUAAAUAUUGUUAUAUUCGACUUGAAACUUGAGAGCGUUUGAACGUUGCGAUUCUCUGUCACAGAUAAACUGAACUAACUGAUAAAUUGUGAUGUUGAAAAUUUUUCGUUCAUUUCGGUAGUUUAGUGUGAGACUUUAUGAUAGCAAUAAAGCCAUGUGAAUAAUACUAACGACUAGGAUAAUAAUUUAGACUAUUUGGAUGUUGAAGCUGGCCAUCAGCGUUACGUUUGUUAUUCAUCGUGUAAUAAUUCAUUAGUUUACCCACAAUGUAAAUUGAAUGCUGACAAUAAUUAUUUCAGCUGCUGUAUCAAAAUAAAGUGCAUCUAAAUCCGAUCAGGAAAAUGCUUGUUGAUAUAAAUUUGUGUGAUCGACCAGCUACGAUCAGUAAUGCUUGUUAUUGUUAAGUGAAGGGAGUGCAUUUGUUGCUAUAGCCUUUUAUAAUAUACUGGGGCCAAAAAUAGAAAAUUGGCAUUCUUUUUUUAUCUAUUGAGUAAUUUACUAGUGAACCUCCAGGUUCAAUAGCAUUUUUAUCACAUUCCAUUUUCUCUAUUCAGGUCUGAUUGAUUAUCUACAAUUUCGAAUAAAAUAACAUAGUUUCAAUUUUGUUUAAUCACUGCUACAUUAAGCUAACACAUAUUUUGACAUUCUGUCAGUUCUCAUUUGACUUGCUUUGUUGAAUAACUCAUAAUUCGAAUAGUGCGAAAUCAUAAUUUUCCACAAAAUAAUAUAAUACAUCAGUUCUCUUGUGCUUUUUUCUGCUCAUCUGGAAGCUAGUUCUAUUGGCUUCAUUAUUCUGCUCAUUUCAUAAAUUUUCAGAUCAAUAAUUUCAUUUUAAACUGGAUUCAAUCUCACCCCAAUCAUUGUAAUUAUUAAAAUUUAUUAAUAAUAAUUGAAAAAAUAAAAACUUCAUAGAUUUCGCCCAUUCAACUUGUAACUCACAUUUUCAUCGUAAACAGUAUUAAUGCAUUAUCGAUCAUAAAGUGAAAAAAUCUAUUUUUGAAAUGUUGAUCAAAAUCAAUUCCAGAAAAGGUUUGGUUCCAUCUGUUGUAAUAGAUGUGCUUUUAAAGGAAUAUCCUGAAUUCUGUUAUUGAUUCAUUUUAACCAAAACGAAUGAUAUACUAGACUGUUUCCAAUCGAUAACUAAAUUCAAUCAUUUCAGGAUAAAAUUUUCGUUUUUUCACCUUUGCUUGUAGUUAUUUUGAGCCGUAUCAGUUGCGAAGCAAAAAUGAAUGUGUGGAAUCCAAUAACAUGUAGAUUCAAAUGAUCAUCAUUUCCGACAAUAAUUUUUCAUUCAUGGUUAAUUAGCAUUUCCUAAUUUAUCUUCGGAAUGUUGUGAAUUGUAUUAGAAUCAACUAGAAUGUGUCCCCAGAUAAAGACAACAAUUUCGAUCAACACUCUUCUGCAAUCGGCUAUUUCUGAUCAAGCUGACAUUUAAUCUCAUAAUAUCUCUAAAACAGAAUAUUCACUUACUAUGGGUAGUUUCUAAUCAUGUAAUAUUUCGUGUAUCUGAAAUGAUUUGGCCUACUUGUGUUCACGUAUCUUAAAUUUAUGAAUAAAUAUAUGCAUAAGAACAAUUAUAUAAUAUUAAUAAAUGUUAUACAUAAGCAGACGCUGCCAUGUUUGUGUGAAUUUCAACAUGACAAACUAAUAAUAACAAAUAAUACAACUCAUAGAAGGAUCUGUAUCGUUGUUGAGUUGAAAUAUCAGCAUCCUUUGAAAACUCCAAAUAAAACAAUAACCAGAAUCGCGAAACAUUAAUAAUAUCUAUCUUAAAGUUGUUUUGUCCUUUCUGUAUUUCUGACUGAUUGGACUUUGGCAUCACCUUUGCUUAUUACUAAACCUUAUCUAUCAUUCGAAUCUAAAAACAUGUAAUUCAACGAUCAUUCAAUUCUCUAUAAAUUGUUUUACCAAAAAUAUCCUUUAAAAAUAUUGUAUGUACAAUCGUCUAAAAUACUGUAAUAACAUCCAUGUUCAAUCAAGUGAUUAACAACGCCUCUCUUUCUCUUAGCCACAUGAUUUAAUCAUGAAUCGACCUCAUUGCCACAACAUCAAGCGUGCGACAUAUAAUUUAGAAUUUACUACUGUUGAUAAUGGACAUAAUGCUUUGAUACCAAAUCUAUGAAUCCUUCAAAUUCAGCAGAAUAUUAUAGACAACUAGACUUUUACGGCAUUUCUAAUAUUAUCCGCAAAUUGAAUGUUUCCUAGUAGCAAAAUAUUAUUUUCGAAUCCAGUAGGAUAAAUGUGAAUCUAUUACAAUGCUGAGUAAUGUUGUUAUAGUUAUGAUGUUGAUGACAAUUUUGAAAAUGUUAGUGAAGUCAAGUACGGUAGGUCUAUCUACCUAUCAAUAAGAGACCUGCGUAUUGAUGAGUUUUAAUAGUACCUACCUAACGCUGUACCAUUUCAAUGUAGAGAUCUUUCAUAAGAAGUUCUGAUUUGUAAUUAAUAUAGAGCUAUUUUAAACGGACAUUUAGAGUGAACUUAUAGAUGUUUAUAUCCGUUAAUCUACUUCGUAUGUCGGAGAUAAUAUAAUUAUAUGUACGCCUUCUACUUAAAUGAAUGACAUGAAACCAUGUUGGAUAUUACCACUUUCCCAUGAUAGAUAUGUUAUGUUAGCAUAUGUAAAUUUAUUGUUGUUGCAUAAGUCUUAUAUGUUAAUAGAUAAAUUGUAUGGCUACUGGCACCUGAUAGUUAAAACAGUUAAUACUGAUACAAAAUAUCUCAUUUUUUAUCAAGUUAUUUUGGAAACUAGUAAUGAUGAAAUGCUUUUUUGUUUUCCAUUAUUUCCGUACGGUACUGGGAGAAGAAUAUCGAACAAAUCAUCAAUACAUUUUGAUUGAUUAGAAACUGAUUAAUUUCAUACAUAUAUACCCUAAAUAUUCUAAUUUUCAGUAUCCAUAGAAUGAUUAUAACGGGUUGAUUUCUUACAUCAAACCUAAUAAUCAAACAAUAAUUUUAAAAUCCACAACUCUCAAAAUUCGAACCUCACACGACUUUUUAUGAAAUUUUCCCUGAGUUUGAUUACUAAUAAUAUUUAUUAAUCAAGUUUACAUAAACUAAUUAGUAAUUGUUUUUUAGUUCACAAAAAUUAGCUGCAGCCUCUUGAAGUCUUCAACUUAAUCUAAACUACAAAUUCUCUCAUUAAAAGUCUAUAACCGUUUAAAAAGUCUGCAUUUCAUUAUCAGCAAUAGUACAGUAUACAGAUGUACAUGUGCAGAUUACGCCUUACUGUUAUUAAUAAUUAUUAACCGAAUUAUUCUUUCACUGUAUAAUUCCUACUAUUGUAAAGCGAUGUAAAUGAUUUAAAAAAUUAAAUAAAUAAUUAUUAUUGAUUUGAGAAUAAACUUCUUAUGAUUCCGAAAAGAUAAAAACAGAGAUAACGCAAGACAAGUCAAGUAGGUAAUUGAGAAUAGUAGUAUUACGAGAGUGAGUUUUCCGAUGUCUUAUCCCAUCUUCUAAAAUUUCUGUUUGAGAAUGAAAAAUAUAUCUAUCUCUUGCCGUUAUUUGUUACCAUAAUACAUUUAAAAAUGGUUGUAAUUAAUGAUGGUUUAUUGUUAUUGUUGUUGAAUCGUUCAUGAAAAUCUAUGUUUUUAUAUCUUCAACGUUUAUUAUCAGCCAUACAAACUGUCCUAUUGAAAGUUAGACCUAAUGAGCUUACAUUGUAAUGAUGUAAGUGACUUGAUUAAGUGUAAGAACUAUCGACAAGCCUUUCUCUCCCUUAGUAAGAAUUUAAUGGAAUGUAAUAAUGGAUGUCUUCAGUAAUACAAUAAUGAAUGCUUAUUGGGUGUAACAUUAUGCUAUUGACAAUAUUGCCUGCAAUAUAUUCUAUAUAAAUCAAUUCUAUUGGAAUGAAUAAAAUCAGACUCCAGCUAUCUAAAAUAUAAUUUUACAUUCAAUGCUGGAAUGUAUAGAAAUUACUUGUUGUCUUUGAAAUAAAUCUCGUAAGAUACAAUUUGGCUGUUUUGUUCUGUCAUCUAUGUCAAAGCUUGUAUGUCUAUUAAAGUUCUUAUGUAUGCUAUGUGACUGAAUCACAUGUAAAUUUAGAAAAGAACGAUUUAUGAAUAAUAUAUAUAUAUUUAUAUAUAAGUAUGGAAGUUCAGAUUAGCAGUUCUAUAUCAUUCAUUCAAUCAUAUCACAGCGUUUUUAAACGACUGAUAGAUCUAGAUUUAAGUCGGUUUUGUUUAUGGCAAUUUAAUUGAACAGUUUCAUAAGCCGCGGUUCUAAUCUAAGUUGUGUUGUAUUCUUGGAUUAGGAUACAGACUUACACGAUCAGAUAUUCUGUGAUAUAUUUUUGUUCACCUGUACCUUAGAAUCAUUUUGACAUUGAUCAGUACAUUUAUACAUUUAGACGCAUCAAUGUGUAAUGUUCUAUUAAAGUUCAAUUUUUCCUUUUGACAACCACAAUACAAUAUUUUCUCUCUAGUAUGAUGAAUGCACAUGCUCGAUCGUUUUACCAGUAGUACUAAAAAGUGGUCGAGCUUUUCCUUAUUCAAAUUACAGUUUCAUUUAGAAAACUUCUGUUACCCCGACAGAACAAAAGUAAUGGUUGACAGUAUAUUGUUACUUUAGAAUUUAUAUGUUUUACAAGUAUGUCAACUUGUUUGGCUUAAUAAAGCUCCACGUUAAAACAAAUACAAA
Molecule: RNA transcript, 12245 nt
Organism: Nilaparvata lugens (brown planthopper)
Lineage: Eukaryota; Metazoa; Arthropoda; Insecta; Hemiptera; Delphacidae
Gene: brp
Gene name: ELKS/Rab6-interacting/CAST family member 1
Exons: 21
Source: RefSeq, a predicted model, not a curated record